This 465-nucleotide ribosomal RNA is filed under the name uncultured bacterium. Its description in RNAcentral is "bacterial SSU rRNA". It matches the Rfam family "Bacterial small subunit ribosomal RNA", at positions 338 to 795 of the family's 1533-position model. The record is from RNAcentral.
CCUANGGGAGGCAGCAGUGGGGAAUUUUGGACAAUGGGGGCAACCCUGAUCCAGCCAUGCCGCGUGCGGGAAGAAGGCCUUCGGGUUGUAAACCGCUUUUGGUCGGGAAGAAAGGUUUCUCUUGAAUACGGAGGGACUGUGACGGUACCGGCAGAAUAAGCACCGGCUAACUACGUGCCAGCAGCCGCGGUAAUACGUAGGGUGCGAGCGUUAAUCGGAAUUACUGGGCGUAAAGAGUGCGUAGGCGGUUCGUUAUGUCUGUGGUGAAAGCCCUGGGCUCAACCUAGGAAUGGCCAUGGAAACUGGCGGGCGGGAGUAUGGCAGAGGGGGGUGGAAUUCCGCGUGUAGCAGGGAAAUGCGUAGAGAGGCGGAGGAACACCGAUGGCGAAGGCAGCCCCCUGGGCUAAUACUGACGCUGAGGCACGAAAGCGUGGGGAGCAAACAGGAUUAGAUACCCUANUAGUC